Molecule: long non-coding RNA, 1450 nt
Organism: Bos taurus (domestic cattle)
Lineage: Eukaryota; Metazoa; Chordata; Mammalia; Artiodactyla; Bovidae
Source: Ensembl
CUCCCAUUUUUCAUUCCUUCCUGUGAGAUAUUCCGAAUACUUUCCCUAAGUUUUUGCUUCUUUCAGGCAGCGAUCGUUGGCCCCAAAACCUAACCAAUCCAUCUCCAUUUGCCAAGAUUUGCAUGUGCACACAUGCUUAUUUUCAAUAGAAACAGUAGAGGAUACAUCACCAAGUUGGGUUUUGACCAACAUCCAGACUCAAACAGCGCUGGGAAGUCCCGUGACACAGCACAUCUGGAGUCCCAGAAAAGGUCCCAGGCUGCGCGUCCAUGGGUGAGACUUCAAAAAUUGCAGUUCUGGGGUUCUCACUUAUAAUCCCAGGAUGGAAACUGAUACCAUCAUCAAUCUGUCAGCAAAUUGAAGCCCUGGUUUCAUGUCACAGCAGUCAUGUUAGGGGAAGCACACUGAUUGAAACCGCCCACCCUGGCCAGGCACCAUAGUAACCAUUUGCGUGAGUUGUUUUAUGACAGGAGAUCCUGAUAAGGAAUACGGAACUAAUAAGCCACAACCAACCAGAAGAGUUCGGGAAAGGUUGAAAGGAGACACUGGUUGCCCGUCCACUUCCCAGAAUCCCUCUCGCUAGCAUCCAUCUUGGCUGAGCAAUGCGUGCACCACCAGGAAAGACUUUGAAUUAGAAUGAUUGGCCAAAGACCACCCGGAAACUAAUCCCAUCACCAUAAAACCCAAGACCGCGAGCCACGGGGCAGAGCAGUUCUCCUGGGUUCCCUUACCCUACUGCUCUCCACCCGGGGGCCCUUUCCCAAUAAACUCUCUUGCUUUGUCAGCACAUGUGUCUCCUCGGACAAUUCAUUUCCAAGUGUUAGACAAGAGCCCAGUUUCGGGCCCGGGAAGGGGUCCGCCUUCCUGCAACAGUCACAGUCAGGGCAGUGCCCAGGCAGGUUAGAAGCAAGGUCAGAGUCCUGCUCUGCUUUUUCUGAAGCUUAAAGAAGACUGUCCAUUUAAUUUCCUUAAGAAUUGACGCUUUUGAACUGUGGUGCUGGAGAAGACUCUUGAGAGUCCCUUGGGCAGCAAGGAGAUCAAACCAGUCAAUCCUAAAGGAAAUCAGCCCUGAAUAUUCAUCAGAAGGACUGAUGCUGAAGCUGAAGCUCCAAUACCUUGGCCACCUGAUGCGAAGAGCUGAUUCAUUGGCUUAGACCCUGAUGCUGGGAGAGGUUGAGGGUAAGAGAAGGGAGUGACAGAGGAUGAGAUGGUUGGAUGGCAUCACUGACUCAGUGGACAUGAGUUUGAGCAAACUCUGGGAGAUAGCGAAAGACAGAGAAGCCUGGUGUGCUACAGUUCAUGGGGUCCCAAAGAGUCAGACACGACUGAGCGGCUGAACAGCAACAUCACAACGCGGUGACUGAGAGGACUUGGCUGUCUCACCCUCAGAGGGAGGGGGUCCCUGGAAGGGGUGGAGGAGCUUCUAGGACACCAAACACAGUGCUUGUGC